This 253-nucleotide ribosomal RNA is filed under the name uncultured bacterium. RNAcentral's name for it is "partial 16S ribosomal RNA". It matches the Rfam family "Bacterial small subunit ribosomal RNA", at positions 524 to 776 of the family's 1533-position model. The record is from RNAcentral.
UACGUAGGGGGCAAGCGUUGUCCGGAAUCAUUGGGCGUAAAGCGCGUGUAGGCGGCUCGAUAAGUCGGCUGUGAAAGUCCAGGGCUCAACCCUGGGAUGCCGGUCGAUACUGCCGGACUAGAGUUCGGAAGAGGCGAGUGGAAUUCCCGGUGUAGCGGUGAAAUGCGCAGAUAUCGGGAGGAACACCAAUGGCGAAGGCAGCUCGCUGGGCCUUACCUGACGCUGAGGAGCGAAAGCGUGGGGAGCGAACAGG